Molecule: ribosomal RNA, 499 nt
Filed under: uncultured bacterium
Lineage: Bacteria
Description: partial 16S ribosomal RNA
Rfam family: Bacterial small subunit ribosomal RNA
Source: RNAcentral
GACGAACGCUGGCGGCGUGCCUAAUACAUGCAAGUCGAGCGGACCGGAUUGGGGCUUGCCUUGAUUCGGUCAGCGGCGGACGGGUGAGUAACACGUGGGCAACCUGCCCGCAAGACCGGGAUAACUCCGGGAAACCGGAGCUAAUACCGGAUAACACCGAAGACCGCAUGGUCUUCGGUUGAAAGGCGGCCUUUGGGCUGUCACUUGCGGAUGGGCCCGCGGCGCAUUAGCUAGUUGGUGAGGUAACGGCUCACCAAGGCGACGAUGCGUAGCCGGCCUGGGAGGGUGACCGGCCACACUGGGACUGAGACACGGCCCAGACUCCUACGGGAGGCAGCAGUAGGGAAUCUUCCGCAAUGGGCGAAAGCCUGACGGAGCGACGCCGCGUGAGCGAAGAAGGCCUUCGGGUCGUAAAGCUCUGUUGUGAGGGACGAAGGAGCGUCGUUCGAAGAGGGCGGCGCGGUGACGGUACCUCACGAGAAAGCCCCGGCUAACUACG